Molecule: ribosomal RNA, 1457 nt
Filed under: metagenome
Description: bacterial SSU rRNA
Rfam family: Bacterial small subunit ribosomal RNA
Source: RNAcentral
AAGCAUGCAAGUCGAACGGCAGCAGGGGGUAACUCCUGCGAGAGUGGCGAACGGGUGAGUAACACGUAGGUGAUCUACCCUUGGAUUGGGGAUAGCCUGUGGAAACACAGGGUAAUACCGGAUACGACCUUCUUACUUUGGUAGGUAGGGGAAAGGCCCUAAGGGGCCGUCCGAGGAUGAGCCUGCGGUCCAUUAGCUAGUUGGCGGGGUAAGAGCCCACCAAGGCGACGAUGGAUAGCCGGCCUGAGAGGGUGACCGGCCACACUGGAACUGAGACACGGUCCAGACUCCUACGGGAGGCAGCAGCUAAGAAUCUUCCGCAAUGGGCGAAAGCCUGACGGAGCGACGCCGCGUGGACGAUGAAGGCCGAAAGGUUGUAAAGUCCUUUUCGUGGAGAAGAAUAAGCCUGCGAGGGAAUGCGCGGGUGAUGACAUUACCCACGGAAUAAGCCCCGGCUAACUACGUGCCAGCAGCCGCGGUAACACGUAGGGGGCGAGCGUUGUUCGGAUUUAUUGGGCGUAAAGGGCGUGUAGGCGGUUCUGCAAGCCUGGUGUGAAAUACGCGAGCUCAACUCGCGUUCCGCGCCGGGGACUGUGGGACUAGAGUUUCGGAAGGGAAGCUGGAAUUCCAGGUGUAGGGGUGAAAUCUGUAGAUAUCUGGAAGAACACCGGUGGCGAAGGCGAGCUUCUGGCCAGAGACUGACGCUGAGGCGCGAAAGCGUGGGGAGCAAACAGGAUUAGAUACCCUGGUAGUCCACGCUGUAAACGAUGUGCACUAGGUGUUGGGGCGUUCGCUUCAGUGCCGUAGCAAACGCGUUAAGUGCACCGCCUGGGGAGUAUGCUCGCAAGGGUGAAACUCAAAGGAAUUGACGGGGGCCCGCACAAGCGGUGGAGCAUGUGGUUUAAUUCGAUUGUACGCGAGGAACCUUACCAGGGCUUGACAUAUACCGGUAGUCGUGAGAGAUCACGAUGCCCCGCAAGGGGCCAGUAUACAGGUGCUGCAUGGCUGUCGUCAGCUCGUGCUGUGAAGUGUUGGGUUAAGUCCCGCAACGAGCGCAACCCUUGCUGUCUGUUGCCACCAGGUAAAGCUGGGAACUCAGACGGUACUGCCGGUGACAAACCGGAGGAAGGUGGGGACGACGUCGAGUCAUCAUGGCCCUUAUGUCCUGGGCUACACACGUGCUACAAUGGUCGGUACAGAGCGAUGCGAGACCGCGAGGUGGAGCAAAUCGCAGAAAGCCGAUCUCAGUACGGAUUGAAGUCUGAAACCUGACUUCAUGAAGGUGGAAUCGCUAGUAAUCGCGCAUCAGCACGGCGCGGUGAAUACGUUCCCGGGCCUUGUACACACCGCCCGUCACACCACCCGAGUUGGGGGUACCCGAAGUCGCUCGUCUAACCUGCAAGGGGGGACGGUGCCGAAGGUAUGCCUAGUGAGGGGGGUGAAGUCGAAACAAGGUA